GGGAAGGAGGAAUUUUGGCUCAAGACUGAAACAUAGGAAUUCUGCCUGUGUUUCCAGCCUGCCAGACUGCCCCAGAAACUUCAGACUCAAGUUUGUGACAUCAGCUCUUACCUGAGUUUCCAGCUGCUGGCCGGCCCUAAGGUUUCAGACUUGCCAGCUGCAGCAAUCAUGGGAGCCAAUUUCCUAAAAUAAAUCUCUUAACAUAAAUAUCUUAUUGGUUCUGUUUCUCUGGAGAACCCAGACUGACACAGGGGCUGCGGCAGACACAUACCUUCAGCAAUAUCUAAAGGGAGGGCUGCUCCGGGGACAGUGGACCAAAGGAAACACCCUUGUUGGCUGUAAAGUCUGAAUGGGGCUGUUCUGCUUCACCAGGUUCUAUGACAGAAAAUGAACUCAAAUCCCAGGCUUCAGGCAAAGGGUGGUAACUACAGCAGCAAACAUGUCUGGCAGUGCGCAAAUACGUUAAGUAUAUUGUCUCAUGUCAUUAAAAAAAAGACUUUAUUUUUUAAAGCAGUUUUAGAUUUACAGGAAAAUUGAUCGGAAAGUACACAGCUCCCAUAUACCAAACCCCCUGCCUCCAUUUUUCCUUGAGAUUAACACCCUGCAUGAGUGUGCUACAUUUAUUGCAAACAAUGAACCAAGCUUGAAAAUUACUUUUAACAAAAGUCCAAGUUUAUGUGAGUGUUUAUUCCCUGUGUUGUAUGGUUCUAGGGGUUUUGACAAUGGCAUUAAUACAGUAUCACGCAGAAUACUUUUCCUGGCCUAAAACUCCCUGCUGCUCCACCUGUUCAUUUCUCUCCCCUAUUUAUUUAAUUUUCAAAACAAUAUUAUGAGGUGAAAUUUAAAAAAUUCUUUAAUUUAUAAAAUUGAUACAAUAAUUGUAUUUAUGGAGUACAUAGUAAUGUUUUGAAACAUGUAUAGUGAUGAAAUAGAAUAAUUAGCAUAUCCAUCAUCUCAAACAUUUAUCAUUUCUUUGUGUUGGGAAUAGUCAAAGUCCUCUUGAGGUGGGAGAAUCACUUGAACCUGGGAAGCAGAGAUUGCAUUGAGCCGAGAUCGCGCCACUGCACUCCAGGCUGGGCAACAGAGCAAGACUCUGUCUCAAAUAUAUGUAUAUGUGUAUAUAUAUAUACACACACAUAUAUACAUAUAUACACACAUAUAUACAUAUAUGUAUACAUACACAUAUACGUAUACAUGUAUACAUACACAUAUACGUAUACAUGUAUACAUAUAUACGUAUAUGUGUAUAUGUAUAUAUACACACAUAUAUACAUAUAUACACAUAUAUACAUAUAUACACAUAUAUACAUAUAUACGCAUAUAUACAUAUAUACGCAUAUAUACACAUAUAUGUUUUAUAUAUAUAUAUAUAAAACAAAUUAUUGUUAACUAUAGUCAGCCUACAGUGCUAUGGAAUAUUAGAACUUAUUCUUCCUAGCUAGCUGCAAUUUUAUAUCAUUUAACCAAUCUCUCCCUAGUCCUGCCUCCCUGCUACCUUUCCCAGCCUCUAGUGUCCAUUUACAGGUGAAUAGAUAAAGAAAAUGCAGUGUGCAUACAUAGUGGAAUACUACUCAGCCACAAAAAGUAUGAGAUCCUGUCAUUCACAGCAAAAUGGAUGAACCUGGAGACAUUACUUUAAGUGAAAUGAGUCAGGCAUAGGAAGAUAAAUACCACAUCUUCUCACUUAUAUGUGGAGGCUAAAAAAGUUGAUCUCAUAGAAGCAGAGAGUAGAACACUUACCAGAGGUGGAACUUUAUAGGCGUUGUUACAACCAAGACUCAGAUUGCUCCGCUUCCCAGGUUCACACUAUUCUCCUGCUUCAGCCUCCCAAGUAGCUGGGAUUACAGGUGCCCACCACAAUGCCCGGCUAAUUUUUUCUAUUUUUUAGUAGAGACAGGGUUUCACCGUGUUAGCCAGGAUGGUCUCGAUCUCCUGACCUCGUGAUCCGCCCGCCUCAGCCUCCCAAAGUGCUGGGAUUACAGGCUUGAGCCACUGCUCCCGG
This 2002-nucleotide long non-coding RNA is filed under the name Homo sapiens (human). Its description in RNAcentral is "non-protein coding lnc-SOD2-8:1". Lineage: Eukaryota; Metazoa; Chordata; Mammalia; Primates; Hominidae. The record is from RNAcentral.